This 440-nucleotide ribosomal RNA is filed under the name uncultured bacterium. Its description in RNAcentral is "partial 16S ribosomal RNA". It matches the Rfam family "Bacterial small subunit ribosomal RNA", at positions 338 to 795 of the family's 1533-position model. The record is from RNAcentral.
CCUACGGGUGGCAGCAGUGGGGGAUAUUGCACAAUGGGGGGAACUCUGAUGCAGCGACGCCGCGUGGGUGAAGAAGCGCCUCGGCGCGUAAAGCCCUGUCAGCAGGGAAGAAAAUGACGGUACCUGAAGAAGAAGCCCCGGCUAACUACGUGCCAGCAGCCGCGGUAAUACGUAGGGGGCAAGCGUUAUCCGGAUUUACUGGGUGUAAAGGGGGCGCAGACGGCGAGGGAAGCCAGGAGUGAAAGCCCGGGGCCCAACUCCGGGACUGCUCUUGGAACUGCGUGGCUAGAGUGCAGGAGGGGCAGGCGGAAUUCCUGGUGUAGCGGUGAAAUGCGUAGAUAUCAGGAGGAACACCGGUGGCGAAGGCGGCCUGCUGGACUGCAACUGACGUUGAGGCCCGAAAGCGUGGGGAGCAAACAGGAUUAGAUACCCUUGUAGUC